CCAGUCUCUGACUUCUCUGACUGACCUCCGGACCUGAUCGAAGGGCUCGUGUGAUUAAGUCUGGCUCGCUUGGGUCAACUGAUGUGCAAAACCCCUCUCCAGCAGCACCUGGAUUCGUGUUUCAUUUAAUACCAAGAAAAGGGACUUUGUGGAGAACAGACGAGAGCAGGGGAAAGCCUGAACAAUGAUCCCAAAGAGACUGAGGAGCAUUCUGGGCACGUGACC
Long non-coding RNA from Eptesicus fuscus (big brown bat), 225 nucleotides. RefSeq lists it as uncharacterized. The record is from RefSeq and is a predicted model, not a curated record. Lineage: Eukaryota; Metazoa; Chordata; Mammalia; Chiroptera; Vespertilionidae. The transcript is spliced from 3 exons.